This 403-nucleotide ribosomal RNA is filed under the name Fusobacteriota bacterium. Its description in RNAcentral is "Fusobacteria bacterium partial 16S ribosomal RNA". It matches the Rfam family "Bacterial small subunit ribosomal RNA", at positions 355 to 776 of the family's 1533-position model. Lineage: Bacteria; Fusobacteriati; Fusobacteriota. The record is from RNAcentral.
UGGGGAAUAUUGCACAAUGGGGGAAACCCUGAUGCAGCGACGCCGCGUGAGCGAAGAAGGUCUUCGAAUCGUAAAGCUCUGUCCUAUGGGAAGAUAAUGACGGUACCAUAGGAGGAAGCCCCGGCUAACUACGUGCCAGCAGCCGCGGUAAUACGUAGGGGGCAAGCGUUGUCCGGAAUCACUGGGCGUAAAGGGUUCGCAGGCGGAAAUGCAAGUCAGUUGUGAAAGGCAGAGGCUCAACCUCUGUAAGCAAUUGAAACUGUAUUUCUUGAGAUGUGGGGAGGCAAGUGGAAUUCCUAGUGUAGCGGUGAAAUGCGUAGAUAUUAGGAAAAAUACCUGUGGCGAGGGCGACUUGCUGGACACAAACUGACGCUAAGGAACGAAAGCGUGGGUAGCAAACAGG